UUUUCACACAAUAUGUCACUCACAAACAGAUCUUGUCUUUUUUUUUCAAUCUCAGCAGCUUCAUCAUCUCCUCUUCUGGUCACUGGUGUGUUAUUGAGUGUUUGCCUGUUGAUCUUCAUCUCACUGGUGCUGCUGUGGAGAUACAAGAAGAACAAAGAUCAGCAGCGUAACAUUAACCAGACAUCAGACCCAAAUCAAUCUGCAGAAUCUCAAACAGAAAACUCUCCUCUACAGUCUGGUUCUGAUCACAUUUAUGAAGUUGUGACUGAAAUAAAUAAAAGAGACAAAGAUGAUCCGAAGCCAUUGGCAGAUGUCACAUAUUCAGAGGUCACUGUUAUGAAAAAAAAA
Labeo rohita (rohu) is the source of this 348-nucleotide long non-coding RNA. RefSeq lists it as uncharacterized. NCBI's taxonomy places the organism in Eukaryota, Metazoa, Chordata, Actinopteri, Cypriniformes, Cyprinidae. The transcript is spliced from 4 exons. The record is from RefSeq and is a predicted model, not a curated record.